Molecule: long non-coding RNA, 1632 nt
Filed under: Anser brachyrhynchus (Pink-footed goose)
Lineage: Eukaryota; Metazoa; Chordata; Aves; Anseriformes; Anatidae
Description: lncRNA (ENSABRG00000009961.1)
Source: RNAcentral
ACCCAAGCACCUCCCGGUGCCCUGGGGACCCGGCUCCUCCGGGAAGCAGCUCCGAGCAUCGUGGCGGCUGUUGGCCAUAAAUGUCCCUCCUUUAAAAAAAGAUGUUUAGCCUUAUUUUUUUAGCUUUGAAGGUUUUUCAAGGGGCUUUAUGUCCCACCCCAUGCAGCCUCGGUCCCGUGAGGGUCUUGGUUGUAGAUAAAUGAGGUGGUGAGGGUCUCGGUUGUAGAGCUGACCUCAAAAUGGGUUGGUUGGAGCCCAACGAGGUCUUCAUCCCCCAGAGGUGUGAGCAGUAUUGGGACCUGUCGCCAGCAUCACCCGGGUGCCAAAUAGGAUAAAUCUGGUGGGUUUUUCCCAUCAGGGACCUUCCCCCAAAGGCCCCCGUUCCCUGGCGGAGGGGACACCCAAGGGUGACCCCAAGGGAGAGGAGCACUCACGAUCAAAUCACGCUAAUGAUUAAAUCACGAUCACGAUUAAAUCACGACCAAACUACGGGCAAAACCUUUGCAAUCUGCCCUUGGGUUUCCUCCUCCACCACAGAGCCGUCCCCGGGGCCCCACAAAGGUUUGAGGUGGCACCGCAAGGCCCCCCCCCCAGAACCCAGCAGACCUCACCCCACCCUCACCAUAAAACCACAACCCCCCCGAGCCCGGCCACAUCUCCUGCCCCCAGCCACCACCACGAUUUUUUUUUAAUUAUCAUUGUUUAAUGGAAACAGCAAACCAAGGAGGCUGCAUCUGACCGCGAGACGUGCAUCAGAGGAGAUGCGGCACGCGACAAAGCCCACGGACGUUUUCUCCUCAUUUUCUGCAUGGGGGAGUGAGAGAAAAGAGGUUUUUGGCCAGAAAAUACACUUGCUCCAAGGUGGUCCUCCUUGGGGUGGAAAGUGGAGGUCUGCUCCUGUCUGGUCCUUCUUGGUCUGGAGCACGGGUAUCAGCUCCAACACAGUCCUCCUCGCGUUGCUGAGUUGGAGAGUGGAUAUCUGCUCCAACGUGGUCCUCCAUGGGUUGCAAAGGGGAGAUCUGCUCCUAUCUGGUCCUUCUUGGGUUGCAGAGUGGAUAUCAGCUCCAAGGUGGUUCUCCUUGGGUCGCAGCACGGAUAUCUACUCCAUGGCGGUCCUUCUUGGGUUGCUAAAUGGAGAUCUGCUCCAAGGUGGUCUUCCUCGAGCUCCGCAUUUGCGUCCUGGUGGCUUUUCCCCAGAAAGCCGAGUAUGGCCGAGUGGGAUAAAAACAGGGAAAAUGGGGAAAAGAGGGGAAAGGAGAAGGGAAAGGGAGAAAGAGACAGGAGAGGGGGUGGGAGGACGUGGCCCUGUGCACCUCCCGGGGGGCCCCAUCCCCAUCCAGGUCCCCAUCAAUGUCCCUGUCAAUGUCCUUGUCGAUGCCCCCAUCCGUGUCCCUGUCCCUGUCCCCAUUCAUCUCCCCGUCCCCGUCCCCCUCCCUGUCCCCUUCCCCAUCCUUGUCCCUAUCCAUGUCCCCUUCCAUGUCCCCGUCCCCGUCCCUGUCCCCAUCCCCAUCAGCUUCGCAGCGCCGCCGACCCAAGCAGCUCCCUUUCUGCCGGGGCACCCAUGGGUGGGGAGCGCCCUCCUGUGGCACCCGUGGGUGAGCAGCACCACCCAACACCCAUGGGUGGUGGGGA